Small nucleolar RNA from Myotis lucifugus (little brown bat), 104 nucleotides. Ensembl annotates it as small nucleolar RNA U13. Lineage: Eukaryota; Metazoa; Chordata; Mammalia; Chiroptera; Vespertilionidae. The record is from Ensembl.
AUCCUUUUGAAGUUCAUAAGUGUGAUGAUUGGGUGUUCACACUCAUGUGUGAAAUGUGCCUCCCUCAGACCUUAUUAGGACAUUGGCACAUUAUCUGUCUGAUG